Columba livia (rock pigeon) is the source of this 2372-nucleotide long non-coding RNA. RefSeq lists it as uncharacterized. The record is from RefSeq and is a predicted model, not a curated record. The transcript has 3 exons. NCBI's taxonomy places the organism in Eukaryota, Metazoa, Chordata, Aves, Columbiformes, Columbidae.
GUUACUAAGCGGGACAAAGAAAGGCGAGCGCUGAGGCGGAGAGGGGGGACGGGGCUGAGGGGCUGCACGGGCGGCCGGGCCCCGCACUCCGGCCGGGGCAGGUCCGGGGCUGGGCCUGCGACCCCAGCUACAGCCGGCCCCACCGCUAGUGGUGGGGCAUCGACCCAUGCCCACACCACGGGGAGCCGCGUCCCCCCGGGCCGGUGUCCCGCAGCUACGCUGCAGCCAGGACCGGCCCCUCUUUUGAGAUGGGGUCUGAGGGACAGGCCCGGGAGGCCUUUUGCUGGUAGAGCCGUUGUCCCCGUCCCUGGCUGGGGCUUGGGCUGGCCGGCCCCGCUGCAGCACCUCGCAGCUGCCUGCCCUGCUGUUCUGCAGCCCGAAAUACGCGUUCUCCUCCACUGCCUGAGUUCUGCAGCACUAGGUAGACGGCUCCUGAAAACAUUCUCCUGUCUUAGGUGAACUGGAGGGUGAUGGCAACACUGAAUAACUGAAAUGCUAUACCCAGCGCACAAAGUCUGAGCAUCCAGUGACACGGCAGUGCCCUUGGAGAACAGAAACACAACCACGAGCACAUCGAGCGCUCAGGGAUGCUCAAGGUCUGGCAGAGCACUAGAUCAACGCGAGUCAGGACGUUCAAACACUGAAAUAAAACAACAGUGAUAAUGACAAUGCUUUACCAGGGGGCACAGUGCUCAAGAAAGGGUCCUGGUGAGGAGCAGCCCCUGCAGCCCUGCGCCAGCCGAGAGGCGAACACGGCGUCUGCUGCCUCCCCAGUGACAUCCCCCAUCGAUGGCCAUGCAUUUGCUCACUUUCAUUUCCUUGGAUCUGACAAUUUGCAUUUCAAGGCAAGAUUAAAUAUUGAAGUUUUGAGAGCUUCUAUGUGCUUCAGGAGGAGCCGAAUGCACCCGCGCUGGAACAGGCUGAACACAGAAAAGCCAUUUGUGCCAAACUGCUUGGUUUCCUCUUUGCCGAGCCAUGAUAAUGUGAUAUCCGACAGCUGAAUGUAGGCCACAACAGGCUUUUAUAGUUGGAGGGGUGGAGGAGGGAGGGGGGCUGAAUCCACCGUGCUGCCAGCCAAACGCACAAAAAUGAUGAGAGAUUUUUGGGGCAGACUGGAGACUCCUGGCUACUCCCGAGAUGCAAAUAUUGGCUUCACCAUUAGCACAAGCUCAGGGCCUGCUGGAGGGGAGCUUGUAGAAGGUAGAGCUGCAUUCUCAUCGGAACAGAUGACUCCCCAGCCGGCAGUAAAUGCUACACGAAAUUACUAGCCUUGCGCUGCACAGACACCAGGAUUUGUGGAGUAUCUGCCGUAAUUGGUGGCCAGCUUCCCAUGGGGGUGGCCACAUCUUGCAAGAAACUGUAUGAGAACAACCGGUCACAGCAGUUUGGUUUAGUUAACAGAUUAUUCCUGCCUGUUUCUCACCUCCUGGUGACGAGGAGUCGAGGGGAGGGUCAGCCUGCUUUGGCUCAGACGCUGCCUCUGGGGUCUCAGCGCUCCAAGCUCAACCUGGGGCUUGCUGGCAGGAGAAGAGGUGGUGGGGAAAGGCAAAGGUUCAUCCUGUCAUCCUGCACCAGCGCGGUGCUGGCAGCAUGGGAAAGGCACAAGAACCAUCUUUCCCUUGAGUUCUACAAUCUGAAUCUCAAAAAUACCCCAGGACCACAAAGCAUUUGCCUGAAUAUUAAGAGUAUUAACCCCUGCAUGGGCAAAGUAGCAGCAGUUUCCUUCCCUGGAUCCUCCUGCACUUUCAUGUGAAAUGUAAUGGGUGCUUUUAACCAGGAUUGUGCUAUCUCCUCUGUGCUUUAGAGUCAUUUUAUGUGUUAAGGGGCUGCAACACAGUUGCCUCGCUCCACCCCAGAUGCGGCCGCAUUUCUGUGGUGAGAAAGAACUCUGGCAAGUGUGCUGAAGUCGGGUGCCUUGGUUUGAAAAUUAUACAUUGCAUUAAAAACCUGUAUUAAAGAAUAAUAUGUGGUCUGCAAAAACAUUCAAGUGAAACACUUCGGUGUUAGGAAGUGUCUUAUUUACAGCUGUCAGAGCAGCUCAUGCCCUCUUCCCUUCUCUGUCCACACAACAAGCAAAGAGGUCAAAAUAGGGGCUCACGUACGCAAAGGUCGUAGCACAACGCAUGCACGGAGUUGGGCUUGCAAGGAAUCAUACAUGAGGCAUUUCCUAACUUAAAAGGACUUGGCUUUGCUCUGUAAACAAUGUUUUUUUAACAUAGGAAAUAACAACCAAAAAAACCCCUUUUCAAUAAAUGUCUACGACUUAGGUUAUUGCAGCUGGACCUGAGGUAUUCCUCAGCAAGGUUUGGACUGGCCUGUCCUCCCUGCUCCAGAGGUUUCUCCCCCCAAAAUUGCAGGAAUCACAGUUGGGG